UGGGGAAUAUUGGACAAUGGGCGCAAGCCUGAUCCAGCCAUGCCGCGUGAGUGAUGAAGGCCCUAGGGUUGUAAAGCUCUUUCACCGGUGAAGAUAAUGACGGUAACCGGAGAAGAAGCCCCGGCUAACUUCGUGCCAGCAGCCGCGGUAAUACGAAGGGGGCUAGCGUUGUUCGGAUUUACUGGGCGUAAAGCGCACGUAGGCGGACUUUUAAGUCAGGGGUGAAAUCCCGGGGCUCAACCCCGGAACUGCCUUUGAUACUGGAAGUCUGGAGUAUGGUAGAGGUGAGUGGAAUUCCGGGUGUAGAGGUGAAAUUCGUAGAUAUUCGGAGGAACACCAGUGGCGAAGGCGGCUCACUGGACCAUUACUGACGCUGAGGUGCGAAAGCGUGGGGAGCAAACAGG
RNAcentral lists this ribosomal RNA (404 nucleotides) under Actinomycetes bacterium. RNAcentral's name for it is "Actinobacteria bacterium partial 16S ribosomal RNA". It matches the Rfam family "Bacterial small subunit ribosomal RNA", at positions 355 to 776 of the family's 1533-position model. The record is from RNAcentral. Lineage: Bacteria; Bacillati; Actinomycetota; Actinomycetes.